Molecule: non-coding RNA, 1244 nt
Organism: Lactuca sativa (garden lettuce)
Lineage: Eukaryota; Viridiplantae; Streptophyta; Magnoliopsida; Asterales; Asteraceae
Source: RefSeq, a predicted model, not a curated record
UUUUUAUUUUUUAUUUUUUUUGUAAUAAUGGUUUUUUUUAUGAAGGAAAUGUAAAGAUGUUUUGUUUUACAGUUUACAGGAAGCACAGAAGAGGAUGAAGAUCAAGAAACAACCGCAUAUUUUAGUGAUACAUUUGAAGCGGUUCAAGUGCAUGGAACAGCUGGGAAGUGUGGACCCACCUAAUGGGAUAUGGCUGCUGAAAUCUGCCUUUCACUUGAUUGUUCUCCUGUAUUUUAUUUUGGUUAUGGUUUGACCACGUGUCAUUACAGGGACGUACAUUACUUAGAAUUUUUCAUUUUAUUCAUUUCUACAUUAUGACAAAUCUAUAAUUAUGAGCAUACUUCCAUGUCUUGCUUGCUUUUCAGUUUUUUGGUGAGUUGUGCACAGUUUGAUGUUGUGAAAGCAUCUGGAUUGGUUCCUCCUGUGAUGCGAUCAUACAGUAAUAAUAUUAAUGGGGAUUAGGAUUUGACAGAAGGUAAAUUGAUGACAUGACAACAACAAAUACUAGGAAAGAAGGGUAUCUUGGUCCGCUUGAGUAUACUUCAUAUGCUGAUUGCUACAAGCAAAAGUUCUGUUUGAAGAUUUGGGCAACUUUAAGCAGUACGUUCAUAGGCUGGCAGCUCGAUCAGUUCAUUAUUAUCAUCAUCUAGGACCAAUUCUACAAGACUCCGGGUUCUUCUUGCUAUAUGAACUUGGGCAGGAAAGAGCAUAUGUCAGUGAGACAUUAUUCACCUUUGUCUUCCUUUCCUUUGUCCUGGAUCAUACUGCAAUCAUUACUUUUUGUGAAUGCUUGCAAUGAUUGGCAAGAGUCAUUAUGAUGCUUCUUACAAUGCAGGCAUAGCCUUGGUCAAACAGGCAGAAGAUGCUGCAAGUAAUAAGAAGGCAGAAAAGAGAUUGCAGGUUGAUCUUGCUACACGUCCAAUAAUGAUCUUUAGGGUAUGCUAGAAGGAUUGGAGAUUGCAGUUAAGAUUUUAUCUAAUACUUCACGCCAAGGACUUGAUGAAUUUAAGCUAGCAAUGUUUUACUUGAUUUGGACAUGAACCCUAAGAUAUCAUAUUUUGACAUGGCUAGAAGCUUUGGAGGAAAGGAGACUCAAGCAAAAGUAAGCACACAGAGAGUUGUUGGCACAUAGUAAGCUAGAUAAUGCAAUUGUAUAUAAAUGAGUUCAUUUUUUAUAACAUUUACUCACUAUUGGAAUAAUUAUUUGUAUUUGACAUAUUAGUGAAAUAAAUUAUCUUUGUUAU